UGAGCAAAUAAACUUCGAGGGAAUUG
Molecule: non-coding RNA, 26 nt
Filed under: Mus musculus (house mouse)
Lineage: Eukaryota; Metazoa; Chordata; Mammalia; Rodentia; Muridae
Source: RNAcentral